UAAACGAUGGAUACUUGCUGUUGGGCUUUCGGGUUCAGUGGCUAAGCGAAAGUUAUAAGUAUCCCACCUGGGGAGUACGUUCGCAAGAAUGAAACUCAAAGGAAUUGACGGGGGCCCGCACAAGCGGUGGAGCAUGUGGUUUAAUUCGAUGAUACGCGAGGAACCUUACCAAGGCUUAAAUGCAAUUUGACAGAUCUAGAAAUAGAUUUUUCUUCGGACAGACUGCAAGGUGCUGCAUGGCUGUCGUCAG
This 250-nucleotide ribosomal RNA is filed under the name uncultured bacterium. RNAcentral describes it as "partial 16S ribosomal RNA". It matches the Rfam family "Bacterial small subunit ribosomal RNA", at positions 803 to 1058 of the family's 1533-position model. The record is from RNAcentral.